RNAcentral lists this ribosomal RNA (440 nucleotides) under uncultured bacterium. RNAcentral describes it as "partial 16S ribosomal RNA". It matches the Rfam family "Bacterial small subunit ribosomal RNA", at positions 338 to 795 of the family's 1533-position model. The record is from RNAcentral.
ACUACGGGUGGCAGCAGUAGGGAAUAUUGCUCAAUGGGGGAAACCCUGAAGCAGCAACGCCGCGUGGAUGAAGAAGGUUUUCGGAUUGUAAACUCCUUUUGUUAGAGAAGAUAAUGACGGUAUCUAACGAAUAAGCACCGGCUAACUCCGUGCCAGCAGCCGCGGUAAUACGGAGGGUGCAAGCGUUACUCGGAAUCACUGGGCGUAAAGAGCGCGUAGGCGGGAUAGCAAGUCAGAUGUGAAAUCCCAGGGCUUAACCAUAGAACUGCUUUGGAAACUGUUAUUCUAGAGUGUGGGAGAGGUAGGUGGAAUUCUUGGUGUAGGGGUAAAAUGCGUAGAGAUCAAGAGGAAUACUCAUUGCGAAGGCGACCUACUAGAACAUAACUGACGCUGAUGCGCGAAAGCGUGGGGAGCAAACAGGAUUAGAUACCCUAGUAGUC